This is a non-coding RNA of Triticum aestivum (bread wheat), 135 nucleotides long. The record is from Rfam. NCBI's taxonomy places the organism in Eukaryota, Viridiplantae, Streptophyta, Magnoliopsida, Poales, Poaceae.
CAACUACUCCCUCUGUCCCAAAUUUCUUGUCUUAGAUUUGUCUAGAUACGGAUGUAUCUAAUACUAAAAUGUGACUUGAUACAUCCAUAUCUAGACAAAUCUAAGACAAGAAUUUUGGGACAGAGGGAGUACUUU